This 133-nucleotide ribosomal RNA is filed under the name uncultured bacterium. Its description in RNAcentral is "partial 16S ribosomal RNA". The record is from RNAcentral.
GGUACCGUCAGGCCUGCCAUGUAUUAUAUGACAGGAGGUUCUUCCCCUCUGACAGAGCUUUACGACCCAAGAGCCUUCAUCACUCACGCGGUAUUGCUGCGUCAGGCUUUCGCCCAUUGCGCAAAAUUCCCCA